CUCUUCCACUACAACUCAGGUACACUCUUCCUCCCUCUCUCUUCCACUACAACUCAGGUACACUCUUCCUCCCUCUCUCUUCCACUACAACUCAGGCACACUCUUCCUCCCUCUCUCUUCCACUACAACUCAGGCACACUCUUCCUCCCUCUCUCUUCCACUAAAACUCAGGUACACUCUUCCUCCCUCUCUCUUUCACUACAACUCAGGCACACUCUUCCUCCCUCUCUCUUCCACUACAACUCAGGCACACUCUUCCUCCCUCUCUCUUCCACUACAACUCAGGCACACUCUUCCUCCCUCUCUCUUCCACUACAACUCAGGCACACUCUUCCUCCCUCUCUCUUUCACUACAACUCAGGUACACUCUUCCUCCCUCUCUCUUCCACUACAACUCAGGCACACUCUUCCUCCCUCUCUCUUCCACUACAACUCAGGCACACUCUUCCUCCCUCUCUCUUCCACUACAAAUCUUGGCCCGGUUCCCCGAUAGCGAUGGAACUUAGGCUUACGAGUGUUUUUAACAAUGUAUCUUUC
This is a long non-coding RNA of Oncorhynchus keta (chum salmon), 537 nucleotides long. RefSeq lists it as uncharacterized. The transcript has 3 exons. The record is from RefSeq and is a predicted model, not a curated record. NCBI's taxonomy places the organism in Eukaryota, Metazoa, Chordata, Actinopteri, Salmoniformes, Salmonidae.